UCGGUAAUGACGCUGGGGACGCGAGCGGCGGAUGGGUGAGUAACACGUGGGGAACCUGCCCCAUAGCCUGGGAUACCACUUGGAAACAGGUGCUAAUACCGGAUAAGAAAGCAGAUCGCAUGAUCAGCUUAUAAAAGGCGGCGUAAGCUGUCGCUAUGGGAUGGCCCCGCGGUGCAUUAGCUAGUUGGUAAGGUAACGGCUUACCAAGGCAAUGAUGCAUAGCCGAGUUGAGAGACUGAUCGGCCACAUUGGGACUGAGACACGGCCCAAACUCCUACGGGAGGCAGCAGUAGGGAAUCUUCCACAAUGGACGCAAGUCUGAUGGAGCAACGCCGCGUGAGUGAAGAAGGUUUUCGGAUCGUAAAGCUCUGUUGUUGGUGAAGAAGGAUAGAGGUAGUAACUGGCCUUUAUUUGACGGUAAUCAACCAGAAAGUCACGGCUAACUACGUGCCAGCAGCCGCGGUAAUACGUAGGUGGCAAGCGUUGUCCGGAUUUAUUGGGCGUAAAGCGAGCGCAGGCGGAAGAAUAAGUCUGAUGUGAAAGCCCUCGGCUUAACACGAGGAACUGCAUCGGAAAC
This 577-nucleotide ribosomal RNA is filed under the name Lactobacillus helveticus. Its description in RNAcentral is "bacterial SSU rRNA". It matches the Rfam family "Bacterial small subunit ribosomal RNA", at positions 76 to 633 of the family's 1533-position model. Lineage: Bacteria; Bacillati; Bacillota; Bacilli; Lactobacillales; Lactobacillaceae. The record is from RNAcentral.